AUUGAACGCUGGCGGAAUGCUUUACACAUGCAAGUCGAGCGGCGGCGCGGGGCAACCUGGCGGCGAGCGGCGAACGGGUGAGUAAUACAUCGGAACGUACCCAGUUGUGGGGGAUAGCCCGGCGAAAGCCGGAUUAAUACCGCAUACGACCUGAGGGUGAAAGGGGGGGAUCGCAAGACCUCUCGCAGUUGGAGCGGCCGAUGGCGGAUUAGUUAGUUGGUGAGGUAAAGGCUCACCAAGGCGACGAUCCGUAGCGGGACUGAGAGGACGACCCGCCAAACUGGAACUGAGACACGGUCCAGACUUCUAGGGGAGGAGGCAGGAGGAAAUUUUGGGCAAGGGGGGAAACCCUGAUCCAGACAUUCCGCGUGAGUGAAGAAGGCCUUCGGGUUGUAAAGCUCUUUCGGCAGGAACGAAACGGUGGAAGCUAAUAUCUUUUACUAAUGACGGUACCUGAAGAAGAAGCACCGGCUAACUACGUGCCAGCCGCCGCCGUAA
Molecule: ribosomal RNA, 498 nt
Filed under: uncultured bacterium
Lineage: Bacteria
Description: partial 16S ribosomal RNA
Rfam family: Bacterial small subunit ribosomal RNA
Source: RNAcentral